AAGGAUCAUUAAUGAAGUAGGGCAUGUGUUCGCACAGUCCAACCCUCAUUUCUAACUCUGUGCACUAUUUGGUGGUCCAGAAGCCAUUCGAGACCACGGCUCAUUUUAUAACACGAGUUAAAGAAUGUAAUUAAAUAUAAAACAAAAAAAAAAACUUUCAACAACGGAUCUCUUGGCUCUC
RNAcentral lists this unclassified non-coding RNA (181 nucleotides) under uncultured fungus. RNAcentral describes it as "partial contains 18S rRNA, ITS1, 5.8S rRNA, ITS2 and 28S rRNA". Lineage: Eukaryota; Fungi. The record is from RNAcentral.